RNAcentral lists this ribosomal RNA (334 nucleotides) under uncultured eukaryote. RNAcentral describes it as "partial 18S ribosomal RNA". It matches the Rfam family "Eukaryotic small subunit ribosomal RNA", at positions 1470 to 1796 of the family's 1831-position model. The record is from RNAcentral.
CCCUUAGAUGUCCGGGGCCGCACGCGCGCUACACUGAAGGAAUCAGCGUGGCUUUCUCCCUGACCCGAAAGGGUUGGGAAACCCGUUGAAUCUCCUUCGUGAUAGGGAUUGGGGCUUGAAAUUGUUCCCCAUGAACGAGGAAUUCCCAGUAAGCGCGAGUCAUAAGCUCGCGUUGAUUAUGUCCCUGCCCUUUGUACACACCGCCCGUCGCUACUACCGAUUGAACGGUUUAGUGAGGGCCUCGGAUUGGUCUCGGCCCGCUCUUUACCGGGCGGCGCCGUUGGUCGAGAAGACGCUCGAACUUGAUCGUUUAGAGGAAGUAAAAGUCGUAACA